Long non-coding RNA from Oncorhynchus masou masou (cherry salmon), 616 nucleotides. RefSeq lists it as uncharacterized. Lineage: Eukaryota; Metazoa; Chordata; Actinopteri; Salmoniformes; Salmonidae. The record is from RefSeq and is a predicted model, not a curated record. The transcript is spliced from 2 exons.
AACGGGGCGUAGUUUAGGCUUAACUGCGUUGGGAAAAAGAAAGACGCAAGCUCACCUGCUUGAAGACCUGAAACCCGGAAAUUAGUUACCAUUCAUAUGGCGAAAAUGAAUGAGGAAAGAAUAGGCUUUUGGGAUAAACGCGGAAAUAAGGUCUGAGGUUAAUACAGGCUUAGGAUAUCUUAUACGUUUUGUUCUACGAGAUAAUAUUAGUCAGUUAACAUUACCUUUAUUAAUUAUGAAGCAUUUAUGUGCUUUUUCAAAUUACACAAACGCUUCCAAAUUCACAAAAAAUACAUUAGUAAAAAAACAACAGAAAGAAGCACGAGAGUUUCGCAAGAAUUGUCUGCUUUUUCUUGAAUAAGUCUGUUUUUAUGUAAUAUUGUUUCAUUGAACACUAUAUCCCAGAAAGCCUUGCGCCAAGGCAAAGCAGGAAGAUAUUUUUUCGUCUGCAACUUCGGGAAUUUAGCCAGAAGGAGUGUGUUGCUCAGGUCCUGGGGAGAGUGGUGAGUGUCAGUGUGUGUUACAGAAACACCAGCAGUGAGUGUAUGUCUGUCUGUAAUCUGCUUCCGCCGGCUGUUUGUGGCAUCGGCUGUGAAGUGAACAGGAAGACAGAGGG